AGUGGCGCACGGGUGAGUAACGCGUGGAUAAUCUGCCCGAGGAUUUGGGAUAACAUCUCGAAAGGGGUGCUAAUACCGAAUAAGCCCACGGGGUCUACGGAUCUUGCGGGAAAAGGGGGGGACCUUCGGGCCUCCUGUCCUUGGAUGAGUCUGCGUACCAUUAGCUAGUUGGUGGGGUAAUGGCCUACCAAGGCGACGAUGGUUAGCUGGUCUGAGAGGAUGAUCAGCCACACUGGAACUGAGACACGGUCCAGACUCCUACGGGAGGCAGCAGUGGGGAAUUUUGCGCAAUGGGGGAAACCCUGACGCAGCAACGCCGCGUGGGUGAUGAAGGCCUUCGGGUCGUAAAGCUCUGUCUGGAGGGAAGAAAUGAUUGGGAGCUAAUACCUCUUGAUCUUGACGGUACCUCUGAAGGAAGCACCGGCUAACUCCGUGCCAGCAGCCGCGGUAAUACGGAGGGUGCAAGCGUUGUUCGGAAUUAUUGGGCGUAAAGCGCGUGUAGGCGGUCUUUUAAGUCUGAUGUGAAAGCCCCGGGCUCAACCUGGGAAGUGCAUUGGAAACUGGGAGGCUUGAGUACGGGAGAGGAGAGUGGAAUUCCUAGUGUAGGAGUGAAAUCCGUAGAUAUUAGGAGGAACACCGGUGGCGAAGGCGGCUCUCUGGACCGAUACUGACGCUGAGACGCGAAAGCGUGGGUAGCAAACAGGAUUAGAUACCCUGGUAGUCCACGCC
This 729-nucleotide ribosomal RNA is filed under the name uncultured bacterium. Its description in RNAcentral is "bacterial SSU rRNA". It matches the Rfam family "Bacterial small subunit ribosomal RNA", at positions 94 to 801 of the family's 1533-position model. The record is from RNAcentral.